GGCGCUAGUGGUGUAGUGGUUAAGUGCGCGACCCACGUAUAGAGGCUACAGUCCUCAAAGUGGCCGUCCCGGGUUCGAAACCCGGAGACCUUUGCCA
This is a non-coding RNA of Ataeniobius toweri, 97 nucleotides long. NCBI's taxonomy places the organism in Eukaryota, Metazoa, Chordata, Actinopteri, Cyprinodontiformes, Goodeidae. The record is from the annotation of a GenBank genome assembly.